This 72-nucleotide transfer RNA is filed under the name Rosellinia necatrix. RNAcentral's name for it is "tRNA-Glu". It matches the Rfam family "tRNA". From Rfam's summary of the family: Transfer RNA (tRNA) molecules are approximately 80 nucleotides in length. Their secondary structure includes four short double-helical elements and three loops (D, anti-codon, and T loops). Lineage: Eukaryota; Fungi; Ascomycota; Sordariomycetes; Xylariales; Xylariaceae. RNAcentral also lists the same sequence under 3 other names. The record is from RNAcentral.
UCCGAAUUGGUGUAGUGGCUAACAUUUGACGCUCUCACCGUCAAGCCCGGGGUUCGAUUCCCCGAUUCGGAG